CCCCAAUUUUCUUCACCUUCCGGUGAAAUUGGAACAAACCCGAACCAGCCUUCACCCUUCCAUUUCUCCUCCUUCUCCAGCGAACAAACACCAACGAGUUCCGAGCUCGCGAAUCAAAACCUCUCAAAGAACCGGUGCCAACAGGUGGAAAUUGACCAGAUCUCGCACCGCCAAGUUCCGAUGGACAACUCGAAGCAACACCAGAAACUCCAGCCAACACAAAACCAAUGUACACAGAUUUGCUUCCAAUUGAAGCUAUUAGAAUUACGUUUGAAUUAUACUCUUUAUUCAUUAUCUUGUAUAUAUUGACAUUAGAUAGCUCUAGGUUGUUUUUUUAUAAUAUCUUAUUUAUUACUUUUGUAUGUUACAUGUUUAUUAUACUCGUACAUUAUUUUA
Solanum lycopersicum (tomato) is the source of this 396-nucleotide long non-coding RNA. RefSeq lists it as uncharacterized. The record is from RefSeq and is a predicted model, not a curated record. NCBI's taxonomy places the organism in Eukaryota, Viridiplantae, Streptophyta, Magnoliopsida, Solanales, Solanaceae.